RNAcentral lists this ribosomal RNA (831 nucleotides) under uncultured Candidatus Cenarchaeum sp. RNAcentral describes it as "bacterial SSU rRNA". It matches the Rfam family "Archaeal small subunit ribosomal RNA", at positions 26 to 866 of the family's 1478-position model. Lineage: Archaea; Thermoproteati; Nitrososphaerota; Candidatus Cenarchaeales; Candidatus Cenarchaeaceae. The record is from RNAcentral.
GCGGGCAUUCGGAUGCUAUUACCGCCAUGCGAGUCAUUGCAGCAAUGCAAGGCAGACGGCUCAGUAACACGUACUCUAUCUAACCUAUGGACGGGGAUAACCUCGGGAAACUGAGCUUAAUACCCGAUAGGUCACCAUGCCUGGAAUGGUUUGUGGCCAAAAUGAUUCGUCGCCGUAGGAUGGGACUGCGGUCUAUCAGCUUGUUGGUGAGGUAAUGGCCCACCAGGUUUAUACAGAUACGGGCUCUGAGAAGAGAGGCCGGAGAUGGGUACUGAGACACGGACCCAGGCCUAUGGGGCGCCACAAGCGAAAAACUUUUGCAUGGGCGAAAGGACCACCAAGGUUAUCCCAAUGUUUUCUGGCUAAAAAAACUUUUAACCGGCCUUAAACCACCGGAAAAAAAAGGGGUGGGUAAUAUCUGGUGUCAGCCCCCGCGGUAAAACCAGCACCUCCAGUGGUCAGGAGGAAUAUUGGGCCUAAAACAUCCCUAAGCCUGCCGGGUAAGUUUUCGGUUAAAUCUAUGCGCUCAACGCAUAGGCUGCCGCGGAUACUGCAAAGCUAGGGAGUGGGAGAGGUAGACGGUACUCGGUAGGAAAGGGUAAAAUCCUUUGAUCUAUUGAUGACCACCUGUAGCGAAGGCGGGCUAACAGAAAACGUUCGAACGUGAGGGAAGAAAACUGGGGAACAAACCGGAUUAAAUCCCCGGGUAGUCCCAGCUGUAAACUAUGCAAACUCAGUGAUGCAUUGGCUUGUGGGCAAUGCAGUGCUGCAGGGAAGCCGUAAGUUUGCCGCCUGGGAAGUACGUACGCAAGUAUGAAACUCAAAUGAUUG